ACGAGUAUUCUUGGGUGAAUAAU
RNAcentral lists this microRNA (23 nucleotides) under Lottia gigantea (owl limpet). Its description in RNAcentral is "Lgi-Mir-137_5p* (star (passenger))". The record is from RNAcentral. Lineage: Eukaryota; Metazoa; Mollusca; Gastropoda; Lottiidae.